This 204-nucleotide small RNA is filed under the name Actinomycetota bacterium. RNAcentral describes it as "Actinobacteria bacterium Magnesium sequence". It matches the Rfam family "M-box riboswitch aptamer (ykoK leader)". From Rfam's summary of the family: M-box riboswitch, also know as ykoK leader is described as a metaloregulatory RNA that sense divalent metals and function as a genetic control element of genes related to divalent metal transport in bacteria. It was first reported upstream of the B.subtilis ykoK gene and genes with related functions in other bacteria. Phylogenetic analysis of the distribution of M-box RNAs across bacterial genomes revealed that M-box riboswitches are most often employed for the regulation of Mg2+ transporter genes The record is from RNAcentral. Lineage: Bacteria; Bacillati; Actinomycetota.
CGCUCCAUCUGUUACGGUGCGGCUCCUGUUCGAACACAGGCCACUGCCCGGAAAUGUCGAGAGACGCCAAUGGGUAGAACAGCCCUCGCCGGCUUAAGGCGAAGGCUAAGGUGGCUGGGACUGCAAAGGCGGGGCUUCCCGCCGCACGGCGUGCCGUGCGCCCUACGUCGGACAGUGCCAAAUCCGCAGACGAGGGACGGAGCA